GAUUUACAACUAGAGGGACAGGCGCUGUCCCGGGACCCGUCCUGGGCCAGGGAGCAGGAGAGGGAGGGACUACAGUUCCCGACUUGCCGCGGGGCGGGCGGAGAUCGUGCACUUUACCAGUGCGCUUCGGCGCCAGUUGCAAGGCCUUGGCAGCCAGUGGCGGCUCUCCUCCUGUAACAGUCCCCUUGUCUUCCGACCUCUCGCUCUUAGGUUACGUGUCCUUGCCGGUCGCCGCGGCAGCCCCUAAUGCCCGAGCGGAGGGUUCCCAGGCCCAGCUGUGGGCGCCACCGCCCACCAUGCGCCAAGCCCAGAGCCUGGUUGAAUCCUUCGCCACCCUGUCCAUCCAUUUGGCCAUUAUCCUGCCACCUCCAAAUCCUGUUUUUGACACCUCUCGGGAGAGAGGGAAAGUGGAAAGAAAAAGGAAUAAACUCCUCGUGGCCAUAGUUAGUGGGUAAAUUCAGAUCUCGUUUGAACCGAGGUUUUUCAGAAUUGUCUUUUUAGUAUUCACAGCUUGUCACCAUCAGUACCUUGUUGAGAAGCCUCUCGCAACCUCCAUCGUGUGGUUAUAAAAUCCAAAUUCCUUAUAAAGUCCAAAUUCAAGAGGAGGAGUGCAUGUUUAGUUAAGUUACUGUCUAGACCUUACCAGCCAAUUUCUAUCUCUUCAGUAUGGAAAUUGCAACUGAAAACACUCCUUCCAAAAAAAGCAGUCUGCAUUUUUCUCUUCUCCAAAUUUAGCACCCCUGACCUUGCUUACACACUCUGGAUACCACCUGCUGUGGAAUGACGGAGUGGCGGAAGCAGACAUCCAGCGAUAGUUAGAUUUCCUGACGUUGACAUCCAAGCAAGAAAGGCGUGUACCUGAGGACCUGCCCGUGGUAGAAGUCUCAGCUUUUCUCAGAGACAGAGAUUAUGAUUGUGACAAGCAAGAACAUCUCCAGUAAUGAAGGUGCUGAUGGACAAGACCCUGGAUAGCUCUUCUUUUGCAGAGAAGACAUCAGUGACAACAGCACGCACGGAACAGGUGCACGUAUGAGCUACCUACUAAUACGCCCUGGAUUUUGAUUGUAUUUUGUGAAAACCUUGGUAUGGGUUAUUUUUAAAUGAAUGCUUUCCCAAAUUUGAUGCUGAAACUGGGAUGCAUCAAAAUUAGCUUGGUCAUAAUCUUGUCAGUGAUGUCAUCCAGAGGCCACCAGAAACACACCUGUAGCCCAGCAAAGUUGAGGCCAUCGACUGGCUGAUCACAGCAAGGAAGGCUGUGCACCACCGGGAGCCAGCAGCAGCUCAGCAGCAGCAGUGAGAGGGCCUUGGGAAAGACUUGGAGGGUUUGCCUUAUAUGAGGUGAUCUUGGGGAGAGUCAAGGAAACAGGUUGUGAUGGAUACUAUUGAGUGUCAACUUGGUUGGAUUGAAGGAUGCAAAGGAUUGUUCCUGGGUGUGCCUGUAAGAGUGUUGCCAAA
Molecule: non-coding RNA, 1455 nt
Organism: Macaca mulatta (Rhesus monkey)
Lineage: Eukaryota; Metazoa; Chordata; Mammalia; Primates; Cercopithecidae
Source: RefSeq, a predicted model, not a curated record